Molecule: ribosomal RNA, 467 nt
Filed under: uncultured bacterium
Lineage: Bacteria
Description: partial 16S ribosomal RNA
Rfam family: Bacterial small subunit ribosomal RNA
Source: RNAcentral
GACGAACGCUGGCGGCGUGCUUAACACAUGCGAGUCGAACGGAAAGGCCCUGCUUUUGUGGGGUGCUCGAGUGGCGAACGGGUGAGAACACGUGAGUAACCUGCCCUUGACUUUGGGAUAACUUCAGGAAACUGGGGCUAAUACCGGAUAGGAGCUCCUGCUGCAUGGUGGGGGUUGGAAAGUUUCGGCGGUUGGGGAUGGACUCGCGGCUUAUCAGCUUGUUGGUGGGGUAGUGGCUUACCAAGGCUUUGACGGGUAGCCGGCCUGAGAGGGUGACCGGCCACAUUGGGACUGAGAUACGGCCCAGACUCCUACGGGAGGCAGCAGUGGGGAAUAUUGCACAAUGGGCGGAAGCCUGAUGCAGCAACGCCGCGUGCGGGAUGACGGCCUUCGGGUUGUAAACCGCUUUCGCCUGUGACGAAGCGUGAGUGACGGUAAUGGGUAAAGAAGCACCGGCUAACUACGUG